CUGCUGCCUCCCGUAGGAGUUUGGGCCGUGUCUCAGUCCCAAUGUGGCCGUCCACCCUCUCAGGCCGGCUACUGAUCGCUGCCUUGGUGGGCCGUUACCCCGCCAACUAGCUAAUCAGACGCGGGUCCAUCUCAUACCACCGGAGUUUUUCACACAAAACCAUGCGGUUCCGUGCGCUUAUGCGGUAUUAGCAGUCAUUUCUGGCUGUUAUCCCCCUGUAUGAGGCAGGUUACCCACGCGUUACUCACCCGUCCG
This 255-nucleotide ribosomal RNA is filed under the name uncultured bacterium. RNAcentral's name for it is "partial 16S ribosomal RNA". The record is from RNAcentral.